UAUCAAUAAGCGGAGGAAAAGAAACCAACAGGGAUUGCCUCAGUAACGGCGAGUGAAGCGGCAACAGCUCAAAUUUUAAAGCCGGUGCCUCUGGCGCCCGCGUUGUAAUUUGGAGAGGCAUUUUCGGAUAGGGUGCCAGCCUAUGUUCCUUGGAACAGGACGUCACAGAGGGUGAGAAUCCCGUGCUUGGCUGGCUGUCCCUUUUCAUGUGAAACGCCUUCGACGAGUCGAGUUGUUUGGGAAUGCAGCUCAAAAUGGGUGGUAAAUUCCAUCUAAAGCUAAAUAUUGGCGGGAGACCGAUAGCGCACAAGUAGAGUGAUCGAAAGAUGAAAAGCACUUUGAAAAUAGAGUUAAAAAGUACGUGAAAUUGUUGAAAGGGAAGCGCUUGAGACCAGACUCGGCCCCAGGUGAUCAGCCACUCUUCUGGGUGGUGCAUUUGCCUUGGGUCGGGCCAGCAUCGGUUGAGACGGCGGGACAAAGGUCUCGGGAAUGUGGCUCCUUGCGGGGAGUGUUAUAGCCUGGGAUGCAAUGCCGUCAGGCUCGACCGAGGACCGCGCCUUUGUGCUAGGAUGCUGGCGUAAUGGUCUUCAGCGACCCGUCUUGAAAACACGG
RNAcentral lists this ribosomal RNA (612 nucleotides) under Hydnotrya sp. MES305. RNAcentral describes it as "eukaryotic LSU rRNA". It matches the Rfam family "Eukaryotic large subunit ribosomal RNA", at positions 41 to 664 of the family's 3401-position model. Lineage: Eukaryota; Fungi; Ascomycota; Pezizomycetes; Pezizales; Discinaceae. The record is from RNAcentral.